AUAAAUUGAAGGGCCGCAGUAUUUUAACUGUGCAAAGGUAGCAUAAUAGUUAGGUUUUUAAUUGGAAUCUUGAAUGAAUGGUUUGACAAAAAAAGCGCUGUCUCUGUAAUAAUGCUUGAAUUUAACUUUUAAGUGAAAAGGCUUAAAUAUAUUGAGAAGACGAUAAGACCCUAUAAAGCAUUAUAUUGGGGCGAUAAAGGUAUAAUUAUUAACUGCUUAAAAAUCAAACAUUAAUAAUUGAAUAGAUCCUUAAAUAAAGAUUUUAAGUUUAAGUUACUUUAGGGAUAACAGCGUUAUUUUUUUUGAGAGUACUUAUCGAAAAAAAAGUUUGCGACCUCGAUGUUGAAUUAAGAUUUCUUUUUAAUUGCAGCAGUUAAAAAAGAAGGUCUGUUCGACCUUUAAAUUUCU
This 408-nucleotide ribosomal RNA is filed under the name Mictyris brevidactylus. Its description in RNAcentral is "partial 16S large subunit ribosomal RNA". It matches the Rfam family "Bacterial large subunit ribosomal RNA", at positions 1918 to 2597 of the family's 2925-position model. Lineage: Eukaryota; Metazoa; Arthropoda; Malacostraca; Decapoda; Mictyridae. The record is from RNAcentral.